RNAcentral lists this ribosomal RNA (301 nucleotides) under uncultured bacterium. Its description in RNAcentral is "partial 16S ribosomal RNA". It matches the Rfam family "Bacterial small subunit ribosomal RNA", at positions 509 to 809 of the family's 1533-position model. The record is from RNAcentral.
CAGCCGCCACGGUAAAACGAAGGGUGCAAGCGUUAAUCGGAAUUACUGGGCGUAAAGCGUGCGUAGGCGGUGAGUUAAGUCUGCUGUGAAAUCCCCGGGCUCAACCUGGGAAUGGCAGUGGAUACUGGCUCGCUAGAGUGUGUCAGAGGAUGGUGGAAUUCCCGGUGUAGCGGUGAAAUGCGUAGAGAUCGGGAGGAACAUCAGUGGCGAAGGCGGCCAUCUGGGACAACACUGACGCUGAGGCACGAAAGCGUGGGGAGCAAACAGGAUUAGAUACCCCAGUAGUCCCUGUCUCUUAUAA